CCUAGCAGCGGAUCCACAUCUCGGAUUGGCUGCCUUUGAGAACCGGUGUUGGUUCAGCUACUCUGAUGCUGAGUGUGAUUCUGUAAAUAGCCAGUGUCCAAACAUUGCAUUUAGAGUCUCGUGUAGACCGCGUUGCUCAGGAACUGGUUAUGUUAUUGAGAUCUUACUGCCUGCACUUCCUGCCUAUGCUGGGAUUACAGGCUCAAAGAGCAUCAAAAAACCGAGGAGAUAAAAAGAAUGCAAGAGG
Long non-coding RNA from Grammomys surdaster, 247 nucleotides. RefSeq lists it as uncharacterized. The record is from RefSeq and is a predicted model, not a curated record. The transcript has 3 exons. NCBI's taxonomy places the organism in Eukaryota, Metazoa, Chordata, Mammalia, Rodentia, Muridae.